This 305-nucleotide ribosomal RNA is filed under the name uncultured bacterium. RNAcentral's name for it is "partial 16S ribosomal RNA". It matches the Rfam family "Bacterial small subunit ribosomal RNA", at positions 505 to 807 of the family's 1533-position model. The record is from RNAcentral.
ACAGCAGUCGCCACGGUAAUACGUAGGGUGCGAGCGUUAAUCGGAAUUACUGGGCGUAAAGCGUGCGCAGGCGGUUCGUUAAGACAGAUGUGAAAUCCCCGGGCUUAACCUGGGAACUGCAUUUGUGACUGGCGAGCUAGAGUAUGGCAGAGGGGGGUAGAAUUCCACGUGUAGCAGUGAAAUGCGUAGAGAUGUGGAGGAAUACCGAUGGCGAAGGCAGCCCCCUGGGCCAAUACUGACGCUCAUGCACGAAAGCGUGGGGAGCAAACAGGAUUAGAUACCCCGGUAGUCCCUGUCUCUUAUAC